CGGGUGAGUAACACGUGAGUAACCUGCCCUUAACUCUGGGAUAAGCCUUGGAAACGGGGUCUAAUACUGGAUAUUGACUUUACCUCGCAUGGGGUUUGGUUGAAAGAUUUAUUGGUUUUGGAUGGACUCGCGGCCUAUCAGCUUGUUGGUGAGGUAAUGGCUCACCAAGGCGACGACGGGUAGCCGGCCUGAGAGGGUGACCGGCCACACUGGGACUGAGACACGGCCCAGACUCCUACGGGAGGCAGCAGUGGGGAAUAUUGCACAAUGGGCGAAAGCCUGAUGCAGCGACGCCGCGUGAGGGAUGACGGCCUUCGGGUUGUAAACCUCUUUCAGUAGGGAACAAGGCCAGCAUUUUUGUUGGUUGAGGGUACUUGCAGAAGAAGCGCCGGCUAACUACGUGCCAGCAGCCGCGGUAAUACGUAGGGCGCAAGCGUUAUCCGGAAUUAUUGGGCGUAAAGAGCUCGUAGGCGGUUUGUCGCGUCUGCCGUGAAAGUCCGGGGCUCAACCCCGGAUCUGCGGUGGGUACGGGCAGACUAGAGUGAUGUAGGGG
Molecule: ribosomal RNA, 553 nt
Filed under: Arthrobacter sp.
Lineage: Bacteria; Bacillati; Actinomycetota; Actinomycetes; Micrococcales; Micrococcaceae
Description: bacterial SSU rRNA
Rfam family: Bacterial small subunit ribosomal RNA
Source: RNAcentral